AGAGUUUGAUCCUGGCUCAGAUUGAACGCUGGCGGCAGGCCUAACACAUGCAAGUCGAGCGGUAGCACAGAGAGCUUGCUCUCGGGUGACGAGCGGCGGACGGGUGAGUAAUGUCUGGGAAACUGCCUGAUGGAGGGGGAUAACUACUGGAAACGGUAGCUAAUACCGCAUAACGUCGCAAGACCAAAGUGGGGGACCUUCGGGCCUCAUGCCAUCAGAUGUGCCCAGAUGGGAUUAGCUAGUAGGUGGGGUAAUGGCUCACCUAGGCGACGAUCCCUAGUUGGUCUGAGAGGAUGACCAGCCACACUGGAACUGAGACACGGUCCAGACUCCUACGGGAGGCAGCAGUGGGGAAUAUUGCACAAUGGGCGCAAGCCUGAUGCAGCCAUGCCGCGUGUAUGAAGAAGGCCUUCGGGUUGUAAAGUACUUUCAGCGAGGAGGAAGGCGUUAAGGUUAAUAACCUUGGCGAUUGACGUUACUCGCAGAAGAAGCACCGGCUAACUCCGUGCCAGCAGCCGCGGUAAUACGGAGGGUGCAAGCGUUAAUCGGAAUUACUGGGCGUAAAGCGCACGCAGGCGGUCUGUUAAGUCAGAUGUGAAAUCCCCGGGCUCAACCUGGGAACUGCAUUUGAAACUGGCAGGCUUGAGUCUUGUAGAGGGGGGUAGAAUUCCAGGUGUAGCGGUGAAAUGCGUAGAGAUCUGGAGGAAUACCGGUGGCGAAGGCGGCCCCCUGGACAAAGACUGACGCUCAGGUGCGAAAGCGGGGGGGAGCAAACAGGAUUUAGAUACCCUGGUAGUCCACGCUGUAAACGAUGUCGACUUGGAGGUUGUUCCCUUGAGGAGUGGCUUCCGGAGCUAACGCGUUAAGUCGACCGCCUGGGGAGUACGGCCGCAAGGUUAAAACUCAAAUGAAUUGACGGGGGCCCGCACAAGCGGUGGAGCAUGUGGUUUAAUUCGAUGCAACGCGAAGAACCUUACCUACUCUUGACAUCCAGAGAACUUAGCAGAGAUGCUUUGGUGCCUUCGGGAACUCUGAGACAGGUGCUGCAUGGCUGUCGUCAGCUCGUGUUGUGAAAUGUUGGGUUAAGUCCCGCAACGAGCGCAACCCUUAUCCUUUGUUGCCAGCGAUUCGGUCGGGAACUCAAAGGAGACUGCCAGUGAUAAACUGGAGGAAGGUGGGGAUGACGUCAAGUCAUCAUGGCCCUUACGAGUAGGGCUACACACGUGCUACAAUGGCAUAUACAAAGAGAAGCGACCUCGCGAGAGCAAGCGGACCUCAUAAAGUAUGUCGUAGUCCGGAUUGGAGUCUGCAACUCGACUCCAUGAAGUCGGAAUCGCUAGUAAUCGUAGAUCAGAAUGCUACGGUGAAUACGUUCCCGGGCCUUGUACUCACCGCCCGUCA
Molecule: ribosomal RNA, 1401 nt
Filed under: uncultured bacterium
Lineage: Bacteria
Description: bacterial SSU rRNA
Rfam family: Bacterial small subunit ribosomal RNA
Source: RNAcentral